Molecule: long non-coding RNA, 259 nt
Filed under: Nicotiana benthamiana
Lineage: Eukaryota; Viridiplantae; Streptophyta; Magnoliopsida; Solanales; Solanaceae
Description: long non-coding RNA (NBEN_LNC024601)
Source: RNAcentral
UGGUGAUCGUGCAUGUUUUCCGGGUAACCUUGUUCUUCCUUGAUGAAGAGGGGUUGAAUCAACUUGAAUUGGCUCACCAUACAUGACCAUCUGUGAUAGGUUUUCUGGAAGUUCAAAAUCGCCCAGUGUCACACCUUUCUUUUCAAUUCCUCCACGCAUCACUCCAAUCUCCUCUUCUUUUUCAACGCAUUCUUCUACAACUUCAGUCAUAGUUACACCAUGAAUUGGUGACUGUGGAACAUUGUCUUCAACAUAUGCU